GAGACAGCAGUCGCCGCGGUAAUACGUAGGUGGCAAGCGUUGUCCGGAAUUAUUGGGCGUAAAGGGCUCGCAGGCGGUUUCUUAAGUCUGAUGUGAAAGCCCCCGGCUCAACCGGGGAGGGUCAUUGGAAACUGGGAAACUUGAGUGCAGAAGAGGAGAGUGGAAUUCCACGUGUAGCGGUGAAAUGCGUAGAGAUGUGGAGGAACACCAGUGGCGAAGGCGACUCUCUGGUCUGUAACUGACGCUGAGGAGCGAAAGCGUGGGGAGCGAACAGGAUUAGAUACCCGCGUAGUCCCUGUCUCUUAUAC
RNAcentral lists this ribosomal RNA (308 nucleotides) under uncultured bacterium. RNAcentral describes it as "partial 16S ribosomal RNA". It matches the Rfam family "Bacterial small subunit ribosomal RNA", at positions 505 to 807 of the family's 1533-position model. The record is from RNAcentral.